AUGCAGAACCCCCAGACCCCUUUAUUCAGGCUUACUCUCCAGCAGAUGGGAGGUACUGCUGUGACAUCUCAACUGCAGCUGAAGAUAUUCAAUCUGAGACAUAAAAAAAAGAAUAGUGCAAUGUUGUGGGAUAAACAUCUAGAGCAGUAAGAGCCUUAUUGACUCUCUUGAAAUGCAGGAAAAAGUCCUGGUCUGCAGCUGCCAAAGAAUUCUUUAGCUGAACUUGGCAUUAGGCAGCACUAGCUCCUGAUCAAGCUCCUGGCUGUUUGGCAGGAAACACUCUUCACUCAACGGGUUCCAUAAAGAUGUUUUGGGGUGUUUAUUCCCUCAAAGAUGUGCGUAUCACUAUAAUAUUUAUGCUUGUUUUUCCGGGGAAGCUGUCUACCUUAAGAUCUCAGUUACAGCUCUGUCUUCCUCCUUCAAGACUGGUCAGUGUUCAAAACUAAAAACAAAAAAUAAAAAAAAAUAAAAAAAAAAAAUUAAAAAAAUA
This 490-nucleotide long non-coding RNA is filed under the name Coturnix japonica (Japanese quail). RNAcentral's name for it is "lncRNA (ENSCJPG00005003833.1)". The record is from RNAcentral. Lineage: Eukaryota; Metazoa; Chordata; Aves; Galliformes; Phasianidae.